Molecule: ribosomal RNA, 447 nt
Filed under: uncultured bacterium
Lineage: Bacteria
Description: bacterial SSU rRNA
Rfam family: Bacterial small subunit ribosomal RNA
Source: RNAcentral
UGGGGAAUUUUGGACAAUGGGCGCAAGCCUGAUCCAGCCAUGCCGCGUGAGUGACGAAGGCCUUAGGGUUGUAAAGCUCUUUUGGCGGGGAAGAUAAUGACGGUACCCGCAGAAUAAGCUCCGGCUAACUUCGUGCCAGCAGCCGCGGUAAUACGAAGGGAGCUAGCGUUGUUCGGAAUCACUGGGCGUAAAGCGCACGUAGGUGGGCAGUUAAGUCAGGGGUGAAAGCCCGAGGCUCAACCUCGGAAUUGCCUCUGAUACUGGCUGUCUAGAGUUCGAGAGAGGUGAGUGGAAUUCCUAGUGUAGAGGUGAAAUUCGUAGAUAUUAGGAAGAACACCGGUGGCGAAGGCGGCUCACUGGCUCGAUACUGACACUGAGGUGCGAAAGCGUGGGGAGCAAACAGGAUUAGAUACCCCCGUAGUCCCUGAGCGGGCUGGCAAGGCGCAU